AUUCUAUCAGUUUAACUGAUUCUUGGCAGACCGCCAACUGAACUCCAGUACAAUGGAUGUCACCAACUUUGGUCAGGCCAGGUUUUCCCCUUUAACACAGUAAACUAUCUACAGUCUAAACAGUGUUCAGUACAUAACAGAAUUCUUUCAUUUAUACUUCUCAGAAAAGUAGUUUCUUCACAGAAGGUAGCCAUCCCCACUCUCUCCCCCCCCCAAACCUUCUGAAUUACUAACCAAUAUUAUAUGUUGGGUAUUUAUUAACAUAGAAACAGAAAGAAAACAAUCCUUAAGAUAUACUCAGUAUAAUGAAAUGGAUCUGUAGAAUAUAAAAGGAACUGUAACUUACCACAGGUUUCACCUUUGUUGUUUCACAACAUUUUAUAUGCAGGUAAUAUAUAUGUAUGUUUAAUUUUUUUGGAUUAAGUAUAGUUAAAACUAGUGCAGGUGGAUGGGUUUUUGUGUGUGGGUUUUUUUUAGUUGCAGAAUGGCACUGCUAAACAAAGGGAACAAUGGAUUGCCCGAAGCCCUAAGAAAGCCUUUUAAGUAUUUGAACACAGUCCUGGAUAUUUCCAUGCUAAAUAUUUUGCUGCUUAAGCAGCCACCUGUUCUGUUCCCUUUAGCUGCCCUUACUGAGGAGAAAUGUUUAGGAAAAGCAUCUGGAAAGUAUUAACAGUAAUGGUCCAAGAAUAAAAUUAUGCACAAGUGAUGAGGGCGAGAUGCUUAGGCAGAUAAUUAGGCAGAUGCUUCCAAAUUUAACAAACUACCCCCCAAAGACAGUGGCCCUGCUCCAGUUAAGGGAGUAGGUGUAAAAGGCUUCUGCAUCCAUAUCACUUACCUGGAUGGGGAACAAAGUGUGUGAAUGUGAUUCCCUGGCCCAUUUCUGCACCUGGUGCUGCGCACAUACAGCCUUCCUCCCCACGCCCCAAAUCCCACAUAUCAGCUAUUUACAAUAGACAAAGUUUCCCAUUUCUUGUCAAACCACUUUUAGUAAGAUUUUGCUCUUUUUUUAUCAAGGGUUGCACAGCUGUAAACCUGCCUUUUUUGAAUUAGCACCAGGAGCCUAAAGAUCAAUUUAAGGGCAUCUGUCUUUGCUUCUGUAGUAAGCAACACAUGGGGGGGGGGACCUGGUGUGAUACUAGUCAAAGAAUAGAAUGAAGGGAAACAAAACUUUGUUAUCCAUUGUGCAACCAUGAUAUACUCUCCUGGCUUUGGAAGCACACACUGCCUCCAAUAGCGGAGGCAGAACAGAGAGCUAAUGCCAUAGUUUAGCUGUAUGAAGAAGCACUUUCUUUUGUCUGACCUGAAUCUUCAUUGUGUUCCCCAGUUCUGGUCUUAUGAGAGAGGGGUGGGAUUCUCUAUUCACUGUGUCCAUACCAUGCAUAAUUUUCUACACUUCCAUCACAUUGCCUCUUCCUUACCUUUUUUGCUAAACUUAAAAGCCCAAAUUGUUGCAAACCCUCCUCCUGGAGGAGUUGCUCCAUCCCCUUGAUAAUUUUCAUUGCCCUUUUCUGAACCUUUUCCAACUGCACAACAUCCUUUUCAGGAUGAGAUUGCUAUAACUCUACACAGUAUUCCAAGUGAGGUCAGACCAUAGAUUUGUACAAUGGCAUUUCUAUUUCAAUUCCUUUCCGAAUGACAUCUAGCAUGGAUUUUUCCCUUUUCACAGCUGCUGCACACUGGGGCUGGAUCUAGACACAUCAAAAAGUGUUUCAGGAAAACGCAUUGCAAACCUCAAACUGGGAAAUCAUGUUGGCAAAAGACAGAACUCCACACCGCCAUCUGGUGUCACGGUGUUAUAACACAUAUAAAAAGCUUUUUCUUUACUAAUGCACCUGAGUCCUGGGUCAAACAUCUGCAUUUAGCUAUCCACCAUGAUCCCAUUCCUGGUCAGUCACUGCCAGUACGGACCCCAUGACACCAUCCCAAGCACUGCUUUUUCACACAGAGUGUGGAAGAUACAGAGAGCCUACAUCUUUUAUCUUGCAGAUGAAAAAGCAGCUUGGCAAGAGUAUUAUUUCUGACUUGGAGAAAGGCCACAAAGUAUAAAUAGUUAAACAACAUCUCUCCACCUGUCCUUAUUCCACAGAUAAAUGUAUCCUAAAAUUCCCAAGUCAUUUAUACAUGGAAUAGAGCCAUAAUUAAGCAAAACCCCAAGCUUUUAAACAAUGGCAUGCUUACUGGAGUGUUUUCCCGACAAAUUGACUGCUUGUGAAUCUCUAAAAAUGGGACAUUUUUCAUCAAGGAAAUUAACAAAACACAAAAGCUUGGAUCAAUCCAGUUACAGUAAAUGGAGAAGGUUGUUUAGAAGCAGAAAGCUCAAAAGUAAGGUUUACAUCUGUAUUUCACUCAAAGAAUAUGUUUUUCUACAGCUGGUAAAGCCAAGGGCAAUAGUGUAGAUUUGGGUUUUUCCUCCCAAAGCUGUCUGCUUGAUUCAUGCCUUCAUCAAACAUUUCUUGCAUUGUUCCACCAGCACCAAUUGUGCUGUUAGCUGUUGCAUCAUGCUUCACUUAGCUAAGCUGCCUUUUCCUUGUCCAUUUAUCCCUGCCCCCUCCCCGCCGUCAAUAAGCUGCAAGGCUUAAUGAUCUUCCGGCAGGCACAGGUCAUAAGAUUUCUUCAUGGACAAAACUGGCUUUAUUUCUAAGCUACAAGUGUCAGGAUCAAUGUCAUUCAAACCCCUGGGCCCAUGGAGCAGUUAUCACUGAAUGAAGUAUAAUAAAUGUGUCAGAAAGCACAAUCUAGUUUCUCCUGCAUGUGAAAAAUCAGAUUACUAUAGGGGGAAACAGACAAUAGACUAAAUCCAGGGAAUGUGUUACUGACACUAUGUUUAUCUAGGGACAGGCAUUAGGACUGUGAAGUUUAUAUGAUGAUCAGGGGACAGUACAUCAUCAUGCAUCGAAGACAGAAGAAUUAGCAGCGCUGUAACAGUUUGCAACAAGGCAGGACAUAUAUUAGUUUUGUGGCACAUCACUUAAGCUUUUAUGCUCAUUUCUUCAACUGAAAUAUUUAAUGCUAAAUUCCUUAAGUGGGUCCAUUAUGCUUUCUCUCUCUACUCCCAUUAUCUGUUUCAAAGGAAAAACAUGACCAGCCCUUUUUCUAUUCAUAACUUUUCCCAUAACUGACAUGGAAAAUUCACAGUAAAAAUG
This 3143-nucleotide long non-coding RNA is filed under the name Podarcis lilfordi (Lilford's wall lizard). The record is from RNAcentral. Lineage: Eukaryota; Metazoa; Chordata; Lepidosauria; Squamata; Lacertidae.